RNAcentral lists this ribosomal RNA (102 nucleotides) under Escherichia coli O157:H7 str. K2845. RNAcentral's name for it is "partial 16S ribosomal RNA". It matches the Rfam family "Bacterial small subunit ribosomal RNA", at positions 1 to 100 of the family's 1533-position model. The record is from RNAcentral. Lineage: Bacteria; Pseudomonadati; Pseudomonadota; Gammaproteobacteria; Enterobacterales; Enterobacteriaceae.
UUAAAUUGAAGAGUUUGAUCAUGGCUCAGAUUUAACGCUGGCGGCAGGCCUAACACAUGCAAGUCGAACGGUAACAGGAAGAAGCUUGCUUCUUUGCUGACG